Onychostruthus taczanowskii (white-rumped snowfinch) is the source of this 2221-nucleotide long non-coding RNA. RefSeq lists it as uncharacterized. The record is from RefSeq and is a predicted model, not a curated record. NCBI's taxonomy places the organism in Eukaryota, Metazoa, Chordata, Aves, Passeriformes, Passeridae. The transcript is spliced from 2 exons.
GUUUUUUUUUUCAUUAAAAUAAAAUUUUUUUCAUUAAAAUAAAAAUUCCCACCCAGCACAGCUGAUUUGUGGAUUAAUUUUUGUCCUUUUAAUAUUGUAAAUAUUUUUCUAUUUGCUAUCCUAAAAUCGGAUUAAAAGGUAAUUUUCUACUCCAAAGUACAGGAUAUCUUAAAAUACAUAUAUUAAUAUAGAUACAACACCCAAACAUUGAUCAGUAUUCCCAGAGGCAAUUCCCAAAAUUAUUUGUUGGUAUCCCGAGAUUCCCGUACAAAUCCCCCACAAUGGAAUCAACGGCACCACCUCAAAAUGCAAAUUUUGGGAGAAAAGUCAUGGCACACAGCGGCUCCGGGUCCGCUCCCCAGCUCGGCUGUGCCACCCUGUGGAUAUCCUGGAAUAUUCCACAUUCCCGGAUUUUGGGGAAGCUGACGGGAGCUGCUGUGAAGCAAGGGAAGAGAAUUUCCCCGUUAAAAACUCACCCCAAAGCCCCAAAUCCACCACAAAGGGAAAAGGCUGGAACAGCACCAGCUCAAGGGAAUUUUCUGGAGUUGUGUUAUACCCAGGAAGUGCCCAAAAAAAGCAAUUUUUUGGGCAUUAAAUACAGAGCUUUGGGGGUAUUUUGUUUUUAGGAAAGCAGAAGUUGCCACAAGUACCUGUUCUCCUCUCACCCCAACAAGAAAGGUUUGUAAAACAGCAAUUUUCUACGGAGCAUCCCCCACAAAGGUGUCUGAGGGUGAAAAUGAUGAUUUACUGGUUAAAUCUUCCUUAGAACAUUGCAACUUCCAUAACAAGGAUUUCAUUUCCCUGCAUUUUCCAUGAAAACAGCCCUGAUCCAUUCAGUGAAUAUACAGAGGUAAUUAAGUAAAACUGAAAUAAAAUUGUUAUUAACAUUUACAGCAAAAUAACUCCACGCUUCCAGCCUGCAACACACAACCAUUUAACAGGUAAAAACCUCAACCCAGAGCCUUUAAAAGUCACUUUUUUCAAAUAACCUCUGUGUUUCCUGCUGAAAAAAAAGGUGAAUAUUCUAUAAAGAAACAGGCAGAGCAGCAGAGUUGCAAGUUUUAAUGUUUAUUUCCCCAAGACAGCCUAGCCUGCACUCUACUUGGAUAAAUUCACAAGCUAGUUUUCCGCUGCUUCUAGUUUUAAACUUUUAACCAUGUUUCUGAUGACAAGGAAUGCUGCAAAAAUACUCUAGUCCAACAAAGAGUUAUGAUCACAAAAUAAUCUUUAUCCAUUCUACAGUGUUUCAGAAUUACCAGCUGAUUUGAAAACACAAGGUAGAUAUAGAUGCUAAUGGUGGCUAACCUGGGAUGUUUUAUUAUAGCAAACUGUUGUUCAUGCAACACUUGUGCUCAAAGGGGAAGGCACAGCAUUUCCUACAAUGAGCCACCUUAUCAAGAGUUCAGUUUGUACAAAUUUGUAACAUCACCUUGAAUUUAGUGUGCACCACCUCAAAACUGAGGCAUUCCUCCAAUUAUAAAAACACUUGCAUCCUUUUUGUGCAAGUUUUAAAAAUACAAAGGUUUUUUUUUUUUUUUUCUCUCUAAAGUGGCUCAAAAUAGAUUGUUCAUGGCUGCCUACAUCUAAGAUAAAAAGAGUCUAAAACAAUUGGAUUAGGCAUAUUAAAGGUGUUCAAACCAUGACUUGAUUUGUACAUCUAUUCACACCUCUUUUUUUCGCUCUUUAUUCAGCAGUACAUAUGCACCAAAUUUCAUUUUUAGACGUUUCCAUAUCAUUUUCAUAGAAAACAAAGUUUGAAAACAAGUAACAUUGAAACACAGCACGGUAUCCUACCACAACAGAAACAUUUUGGUUACAGGACUCAACGAAAUCUAAAAAUGAACUAUGCUGGAGAUUACCACAUGCAAGGGUCUUCAUGUUAUCUUUGAAAAUGAAAAGGAUGAGGUUUUAUUACCACAUUUUUACUGCUUUCUACUAUUAUGGCAACUUGUGUACUGCAACACAGUCUAGUCUGAAGGGAAAUGGAUGUUUGGUUUUUUUUUUUUUUUGUUUGCUUGUUUUUCCAUGCAAAAAUCUACAAAUUAGUUUUGAUGAUAUGGAAAAGCUUUUCAUAACAUCAAACAUUCAUCUGGUGCAAAUGCACAGGGAAGCCUUCCUGAAAUUCUGACUUUACAAACAACUAAGAAGCCGUAACAGGAAAAAGAAAUUUAAAAGAACUGAAAGAAAAAAAGAAGAGGGGAAAAAUUAAAAUAAAAUAAAA